UCCUCCUUACAGAGGCAGUUUGGUCCGAGUUCCCGACUUGACUCGCUGGCAACAGACCAUGAGGGUUGCGCUCGUUGCGGGACUUAACCCAACAUUUCACAACACGAGCUGACGACAGCCAUGCACCACCUGUGAAAGUGCCCCGAAGGGAGGAUGUGUUUCCACACCGGUCACUCACAUGUCAAGCCCAGGUAAGGUUCUUCGCGUCGCGUCGAAUUAAGCAACAUGCUCCGCCGCUUGUGCGGGCCCCCGUCAAUUCCUUUGAGUUUUAGCCUUGCGGCCGUACUUCCCAGGCGGGGCACUUAAUGCGUUAGCUACGGCACGGAGCCCGUCGAUCGAGCCCCACACCUAGUGCCCAACGUUUACGGCGUGGACUAC
This 378-nucleotide unclassified non-coding RNA is filed under the name uncultured Actinomycetes bacterium. RNAcentral's name for it is "uncultured actinobacterium contains 16S-23S intergenic spacer region". The record is from RNAcentral. Lineage: Bacteria; Bacillati; Actinomycetota; Actinomycetes.